Molecule: ribosomal RNA, 496 nt
Filed under: uncultured bacterium
Lineage: Bacteria
Description: partial 16S ribosomal RNA
Rfam family: Bacterial small subunit ribosomal RNA
Source: RNAcentral
ACGCACGCUGGCGGCGUGCCUCAUACAUGCAAGUAGCACGCUGAAGAGAGGAGCUUGCUCUUCUUGGAUGAGUUGCGAACGGGUGAGUAACGCGUAGGUAACCUGCCUUGUAGCGGGGGAUAACUAUUGGAAACGAUAGCUAAUACCGCAUAACAAUGGAUGACCCAUGUCAUUUAUUUGAAAGGGGCAAAUGCUCCACUACAAGAUGGACCUGCGUUGUAUCAGCUAGUAGGUGAGGUAACGGCUCACCUAGGCGACGAUACAUAGCCGACCUGAGAGGGUGAUCGGCCACACUGGGACUGAGACACGGCCCAGACUCCUACGGGAGGCAGCAGUAGGGAAUCUUCGGCAAUGGGGGCAACCCUGACCGAGCAACGCCGCGUGAGUGAAGAAGGUUUUCGGAUCGUAAAGCUCUGUUGUAAGUCAAGAACGAGUGUGAGAGUGGAAAGUUCACACUGUGACGGUAGCUUACCAGAAAGGGACGGCUAACUACGUG